AUACACAUCUGCGGGCCCACGAGACCAAAGAAGAUCUAGCGGCGGACGGGUGAGUAAUGUCUGGGAAACUGGCUGAUGGAGGGGGAUAACUACUGGAAACGGUAGCUAAUAACGCAUACCAUAAGAUGAGCCAAGAUGGGAUUAGGUAGUAGGUGGGGUAAUGGCUCACCUAGCAUACGAUCCCUAGCUGGCCUGAGAGGAUGACACGCCCCACUGGGACUGAGUGCCGUGCCAGACUCCUACGUGAGUCAGACGUGUUGGAUAUUGCACAAUGGGCGCAAGCCUGAUUCAGCCAGGCCUGGUGUUUUAAGAAGGCCUUCGGGUUUGUAAGCACUUUCAGCGAUGAGGCGUUACUCUCAGAAGAAGCAACGACUAACUCCGUGCCAGCAGCCGCGGGAAUUC
This 402-nucleotide ribosomal RNA is filed under the name uncultured bacterium. RNAcentral describes it as "partial 16S ribosomal RNA". It matches the Rfam family "Bacterial small subunit ribosomal RNA", at positions 47 to 526 of the family's 1533-position model. The record is from RNAcentral.